AGUGAACGCUGGCGGUAGGCCUAACACAUGCAAGUCGAACGGCAGCACAGUAAGAGCUUGCUCUUACGGGUGGCGAGUGGCGGACGGGUGAGGAAUACAUCGGAAUCUACUUUUUCGUGGGGGAUAACGUAGGGAAACUUACGCUAAUACCGCAUACGACCUACGGGUGAAAGCAGGGGAUCUUCGGACCUUGCGCGAUUGAAUGAGCCGAUGUCGGAUUAGCUAGUUGGCGGGGUAAAGGCCCACCAAGGCGACGAUCCGUAGCUGGUCUGAGAGGAUGAUCAGCCACACUGGAACUGAGACACGGUCCAGACUCCUACGGGAGGCAGCAGUGGGGAAUAUUGGACCAUGGGCGCAAGCCUGAUCCAGCCAUACCGCGUGGGUGAAGAAGGCCUUCGGGCUGUAAAGCCCUUUUGUUGGGAAAGAAAAGCAGCAGGUUAAUACCCCGCUGUUCUGACGGUACCCAAAGAAUAAGCACCGGCUAACUUCGUG
This 492-nucleotide ribosomal RNA is filed under the name uncultured bacterium. RNAcentral describes it as "partial 16S ribosomal RNA". It matches the Rfam family "Bacterial small subunit ribosomal RNA", at positions 29 to 507 of the family's 1533-position model. The record is from RNAcentral.